This 259-nucleotide ribosomal RNA is filed under the name uncultured bacterium. Its description in RNAcentral is "partial 16S ribosomal RNA". It matches the Rfam family "Bacterial small subunit ribosomal RNA", at positions 524 to 776 of the family's 1533-position model. The record is from RNAcentral.
UACGGGGGGAGCAAGCGUUGUUCGGAUUUACUGGGCGUAAAGGGCGCGUAGGCGGUCGUGACAAGUCACUUGUGAAAUCUCCGGGCUUAACUCGGAACGGUCAAGUGAUACUGUCGGACUAGAGUACAGAAGGGGGCAACUGGGAAUUCUCGGUGUAGCGGUGAAAAUGCGUAGAUAUCGAGAGGAACACCUGCGGCGAAGGCGGGUUGCUGGGCUGAUACUGACGCUGAGGCGCGAAAGCCAGGGGAGGCGAAACGGG